Long non-coding RNA from Alexandromys fortis (reed vole), 1703 nucleotides. RefSeq lists it as uncharacterized. The record is from RefSeq and is a predicted model, not a curated record. Lineage: Eukaryota; Metazoa; Chordata; Mammalia; Rodentia; Cricetidae. The transcript has 3 exons.
GCGGGGGGGGGGGGGGGCAGCAGAACACUUUUCUUGAUGUUGAAGAACAGGAAAUUGAGGAAGAAUCUUUUCUAGGAUCCAGUUGGAAGCUGAGAAGCAGUCUAAAACACACGGGUAUUUAACAGCCCCGGACAGGAACAUAGCUGGAGCUUAGAGGGCUUGGCGAAAGGCUUCAUCUUCUCCAGUCUGCUUCCUGCUAAAGGCUCCAGCUACGACACUGAGGGUGUGAAACCUCUACACUGAGGUCCUCCAUCUUCACUCUUACAGCAAGAAUACUCAGGGAAGGAGCCGAAGGCAGGAAUAACUCAAGCCUUCCUCUGCAAAGUCGGGCAACCAACACACAGCUAGAGAGCUGAGUCUGACCUCAGAAACUGUGCUCCUGAAACUUUAACUUUGAUGGUACCUGGAGACUCCAAUACCCUGUAACCAGAUUUGUGCCCCCUUCCUGACACAUCCCCUUCUCGUCUCUGUGCCUGUUCCAAGGAGCCAUCUUGCCCUGUGACCUUUGAUUUCCACUGUGAACAGACACUCCUGAGCCCACACCCUUGUUCCUCAGCAAGCAGCCAACUUAAAUCGUGUGACAAAAUCAGUUUCCCAUGGUUCCCAGGAAGAAGCCAGAAGAGGGCACCAGACCUCAUUACAGAUGGUUGUGAACCACCAUGCGGUUGCUGGGAAUUGAACUCAGGACCUUUGGAAGAGCAGGCAGUGCUCUUAACCACCGAGCCAUCUUUCCAGCCCCAGCUGGAAGGAAUUUUAUUGCGUUCUCAGAAAACCCUGGCAGGUUCUGGAAGGUGAACAGUAUAUUCCCAAGGCUACCAAGCAAGGAAGAUAAGAUCAACCUAACCCAAGGAACUCCACGUCCCAACCCCUAACAUGGCCUCAGAUGGCUCCCCACCUCUCCUUGCCACACUUCUAUCACUUGCUCAGGGCUAAACAAAAAAGAAAAAAAAAAAUCCCUGGCUGGGGAAAUGGCUCAGUUGGUGAAGGGCUCGCCAUGCAAGCCUGAAAGCUUAAGUUUGAUCUCUAUAGUUCAGUUUUAAAAAGGCAAGUGUGGCACUGUGCCCUUGUGAUUCCAGCACUGAGGAGGCAGCCUAGUUCACCCGCAAAGCUCCAUUAUCUCUGUAACGCUGGGAAACAGACACGACUCCUGGGCACAGAUGCGAGCUUCUCAGCCCUCCGGUCCUCUCCCCAUCUUUUUAAGUUCUUCCCAGGAGAUGUACAAUGGCAGAGGAAGGCACUGGUGACGACAGAGGGUUUUGCUCAGAGUUCUCAAAGAGCUGCAGUCCCUCGUGUCCUGGGACCCCAUCACAAGGUUUUCCUCCACAUGCUGUCAAGUCGUGUACACACACAUGAUUUGGUAUCAAAAGGCCGCAUCUACUUUGAUUGUUAUAAGUGAUGACGUCAUUCCCCAGGAAAGUGUAUUCCCUUGUUUGACCAAUCCAGCCCUAGGAAGAUGAAUAACCAGAGUUUAUAUAAUUUCUCAUGUAUCAGGUUUUUUUUUUAUUUUCAUUGACGCAAUAAGAAUGAUGAAAUAUGCUUGUAGGAUUUGUAUUGAGCAAUAUAAUUGAAAAGAUUCCCAAUUGUUGGGACUAAUUGAGUCCUGGCCUUCAGCUGCUCUUCCCUGUCUAGCGCCUUCUAAUUGAAGUUAUUAGAAUCUGUGCCUAGCCUAGAGGAUCAGAGGAUGGGAUUUUCACCUGUUGGCC